This 1457-nucleotide ribosomal RNA is filed under the name uncultured bacterium. RNAcentral describes it as "16S ribosomal RNA". It matches the Rfam family "Bacterial small subunit ribosomal RNA". The record is from RNAcentral.
AGAGUUUGAUCCUGGCUCAGAGUGAACGCUGGCGGCGUGCCUAAUACAUGCAAGUCGAACGAUGAAGCUCUAGCUUGCUAGAGUGGAUUAGUGGCGCACGGGUGAGUAAUGCAUAGAUAACAUGCCCUUUAGUCUAGGAUAGCCAUUGGAAACGAUGAUUAAUACUGGAUACUCCUUACGAGGGAAAGUUUUUCGCUAAAGGAUUGGUCUAUGUCCUAUCAGCUUGUUGGUGAGGUAAUGGCUCACCAAGGCUAUGACGGGUAUCCGGCCUGAGAGGGUGAACGGACACACUGGAACUGAGACACGGUCCAGACUCCUACGGGAGGCAGCAGUAGGGAAUAUUGCUCAAUGGGGGAAACCCUGAAGCAGCAACGCCGCGUGGAGGAUGAAGGUUUUCGGAUUGUAAACUCCUUUUGUUAGAGAAGAUAAUGACGGUAUCUAACGAAUAAGCACCGGCUAACUCCGUGCCAGCAGCCGCGGUAAUACGGAGGGUGCAAGCGUUACUCGGAAUCACUGGGCGUAAAGAGCGCGUAGGCGGGAUAGCAAGUCAGAUGUGAAAUCCUAUGGCUUAACCAUAGAACUGCAUUUGAAACUGUUAUUCUAGAGUAUGGGAGAGGUAGGUGGAAUUCUUGGUGUAGGGGUAAAAUCCGUAGAGAUCAAGAGGAAUACUCAUUGCGAAGGCGACCUGCUAGAACAUAACUGACGCUGAUGCGCGAAAGCGUGGGGAGCAAACAGGAUUAGAUACCCUGGUAGUCCACGCCCUAAACGAUGAAUGCUAGUUGUUGUGGAGCUUGUCUCUGCAGUAAUGCAGCUAACGCAUUAAGCAUUCCGCCUGGGGAGUACGGUCGCAAGAUUAAAACUCAAAGGAAUAGACGGGGACCCGCACAAGCGGUGGAGCAUGUGGUUUAAUUCGAAGAUACACGAAGAACCUUACCUAGGCUUGACAUUGAUAGAAUCCGCUAGAGAUAGUGGAGUGCUAGCUUGCUAGAACUUGAAAACAGGUGCUGCACGGCUGUCGUCAGCUCGUGUCGUGAGAUGUUGGGUUAAGUCCCGCAACGAGCGCAACCCUCGUCCUUAGUUGCUAACUAUUCGGUAGAGCACUCUAAGGAGACUGCCUUCGCAAGGAGGAGGAAGGUGAGGAUGACGUCAAGUCAUCAUGGCCCUUACGCCUAGGGCUACACACGUGCUACAAUGGGAAGCACAAAGAGAUGCAAUAUUGUGAAAUGGAGCAAAUCUAUAAAACUUCUCUCAGUUCGGAUUGUAGUCUGCAACUCGACUACAUGAAGCUGGAAUCGCUAGUAAUCGUAAAUCAGCUAUGUUACGGUGAAUACGUUCCCGGGUCUUGUACUCACCGCCCGUCACACCAUGGGAGUUGUAUUCGCCUUAAGUCGGAAUGCCAAACUGGCUACCGCCCACGGCGGAUGCAGCGACUGGGGUGAAGUCGUAACAAGGUAACC